UCAAUUUACAUUUUUUUAUUUUGCAUAUUUAACAAACUUGCACAUUCCAGAUUUUCUUUUUUUUUUUACAAAAACACUUGCUUUGUUAGAAUUUACAAGUGGCACAAGCAGGGCUACAAAUCCCAAAGUGUAGGUCCCUCAGUUGUUUCAUGACACACCUGCCCAUUGGCGCUGCAGCAACAGAUGACCAGGAACCCAAUGCUGACAUCACGCCGCACUUCCUUCUUCACACCGGGGGGUGGGGUGAGGGGGGAAUCUAAGCAAGUGAAUGGUGUUGGCGCAAUUGCUUUUAUUAUUUAGCACUUCAACUUGCAUACAUGUUGGUUGAAAAAAGGCAAGGCUUGUGGAAUGUACAGCGCAUUAGGAGGACCAGUCUCCAUUACGACACAGUCUUUUCCUGUUCGAUGGCUGCAAAAGAAGAGAAAUUUAGAUGAUUUAUCCACAAGUUUACUGACAAAAAUGGGAUUUAAAAGUAGAAUCAGGUACAUGACAACGUACUCUCUUUAGUUGGCAAUGUGUUCUUCUCCUGGGUCUCCGUCUUCUUCAGCUUGGUCUUGUCAAAUGUUGUGACUUCAGCGACGUUAGGUUUGUCAGACAUGUCUGCAGAGGCUCUGAAGAGAAAAGAAGGUGGACACUUAAUUAUGCUCCCCUUCAAUCAGAAUACACCUGAGCGCCUGUGGACAGGUGAUUAGAAGAAGUCAGAAUAAACAGACUGCAGCCUCGAGGACUAGUCACAUGACUAACAUAGAAACUGGGAAAAAAAAAAAAAAAGGGAGGCUGCUAAAAAUAUGCCAGUUCAUGUAGUCUGCAGCCGGAUGUAGCUUUUUAAUGCCUGACUUGAGAACAGCUUUGUAUCAGUUGGAGAGCGCAUGCAGCUGAAGGACCACCGCCCUUUUAAGCAAUCAAGAUGACUGCCUCCAACUGUCUGAAGAUCCACAUGUACAAAAACCCGUAUCAAGAGAAAAGCAGAACUUUGGGAGACUGCUAGAAGUUAUCAGCGUUUUGUGCCAAAAAAUGAGAGCCUCAUAUAAAAACGGAAGAAGCGUGCAGCUGGGUUACAAAAGGGAACCUUGAGUACAAAUGUCCCAGUAUGAGGGGUUACGGUUAAAAACCGUAAAGCUUUUUAACGGGCCAAUUCUGCAGAACUUCCUAAUUACAAUUCCGUUAGUUUUAUUCACAUCCUGUGCAGCAGAAACGGUUUGAUGUCGAAAGAGGACCUGAGUAGACCGUGCGAUAGAAAACUAAAAAAAAAUGUAGACAGAACCGUCCGACAGUAAAGGCUGGUAAAAGCAGACUGAAUUUAACUUGUAUUUUUUCAAAAACAUUGAGACACUCACCGGAGUUUGAGUCAGAGAAGUAACAGGAUAAACGUCUCGCGGGCGCAGGGGGCAGAGU
Non-coding RNA from Xyrichtys novacula (pearly razorfish), 1395 nucleotides. The record is from the annotation of a GenBank genome assembly. Lineage: Eukaryota; Metazoa; Chordata; Actinopteri; Labriformes; Labridae.